Molecule: ribosomal RNA, 516 nt
Filed under: uncultured bacterium
Lineage: Bacteria
Description: bacterial SSU rRNA
Rfam family: Bacterial small subunit ribosomal RNA
Source: RNAcentral
AAUUCGCCCUUAGAGUUUGAUCAUGGCUCAGCGCGAACGCUGUCGGCGUGCCUAACACAUGCAAGUCGUGGGGCAGCAGGCCGGUUCCUUCGGGAACUGGUGCUGGCGACCGGCGAACGGGUGAGUAACGCGUGAGCAACCUACCCCGAGGAGGGGGAUAACCCGGGGAAACCCGGGCUAAUACCCCAUAAGCGCACGGCUCGCAUGAGCUGUGUGCAAAGGGUGGCCUCUGCAUAGCAAGCUGCCGCCUCGGGAUGGGCUCGCGUCCCAUCAGGUAGUUGGUGGGGUAACGGCCUACCAAGCCUACGACGGGUAGCUGGUCUGAGAGGAUGGCCAGCCACACCGGGACUGAGACACGGCCCGGACUCCUACGGGAGGCAGCAGUGGGGAAUCUUGGGCAAUGGGCGCAAGCCUGACCCAGCGACGCCGAGUGGAGGAAGAAGCCCUUCGGGGUGUAAACUCCUGUCGCCGGGGACGAGGCGGGUCGGGGUGAAUAGCCCCGGCCCGUGACGUAGC